GUGUUGUAUGAAAGGAGAGAAGAUUAGCACUCCCCUUGACAAGAAUGGAUGAAUGAGACUAAAAUAGCAAUAGUUAAUUAU
Molecule: non-coding RNA, 81 nt
Filed under: Erinaceus europaeus (western European hedgehog)
Lineage: Eukaryota; Metazoa; Chordata; Mammalia; Eulipotyphla; Erinaceidae
Source: RNAcentral